This 564-nucleotide ribosomal RNA is filed under the name Streptomyces sp. 343H02. RNAcentral describes it as "bacterial SSU rRNA". It matches the Rfam family "Bacterial small subunit ribosomal RNA", at positions 93 to 671 of the family's 1533-position model. The record is from RNAcentral. Lineage: Bacteria; Bacillati; Actinomycetota; Actinomycetes; Kitasatosporales; Streptomycetaceae.
UAGUGGCGAACGGGUGAGUAACACGUGGGCAAUCUGCCCUUCACUCUGGGACAAGCCCUGGAAACGGGGUCUAAUACCGGAUAACACCUGCCCGGGCAUCUGGGUGGGUUAAAAGCUCCGGCGGUGAAGGAUGAGCCCGCGGCCUAUCAGCUUGUUGGUGAGGUAGUGGCUCACCAAGGCGACGACGGGUAGCCGGCCUGAGAGGGCGACCGGCCACACUGGGACUGAGACACGGCCCAGACUCCUACGGGAGGCAGCAGUGGGGAAUAUUGCACAAUGGGCGAAAGCCAGAUGCAGCGACGCCGCGUGAGGGAUGACGGCCUUCGGGUUGUAAACCUCUUUCAGCAGGGAAGAAGCGAAAGUGACGGUACCUGCAGAAGAAGCGCCGGCUAACUACGUGCCAGCAGCCGCGGUAAUACGUAGGGCGCAAGCGUUGUCCGGAAUUAUUGGGCGUAAAGAGCUCGUAGGCGGCUUGUCACGUCGGGUGUGAAAGCCCGGGGCUUAACCCCGGGUCUGCAUUCGAUACGGGCUAGCUAGAGUGUGGUAGGGGAGAUCGGAAUUCCU